RNAcentral lists this ribosomal RNA (587 nucleotides) under uncultured bacterium. RNAcentral's name for it is "bacterial SSU rRNA". It matches the Rfam family "Bacterial small subunit ribosomal RNA", at positions 338 to 916 of the family's 1533-position model. The record is from RNAcentral.
CCUACGGGAGGCAGCAGUGGGGAAUAUUGCACAAUGAGGGAAACCUUGAUGCAGCCAUGCCGCGUGUGUGAAGAAGGCCCGAGGGUUGUAAAGCACUUUCAAUUGUGAGGAAAGGUUAGUCGCUAAUAUCGGCUAGCUGUGACGUUAACUUUAGAAGAAGCACCGGCUAACUCUGUGCCAGCAGCCGCGGUAAUACAGAGGGUGCAAGCGUUAUUCGGAAUUACUGGGCGUAAAGCGCGCGUAGGCGGACUGUUAAGUCGGUUGUGAAAGCCCUGGGCUCAACCUAGGAAUUGCAUCCGAUACUGGCAAUCUAGAGUUUAGGAGAGGGAAGUGGAAUUCCUGGUGUAGCAGUGAAAUGCGUAGAUAUCAGGAGGAACAUCAGUGGCGAAGGCGACUUCCUGGCCUAAAACUGACGCUGAGGUGCGAAAGCGUGGGUAGCGAACGGGAUUAGAUACCCCGGUAGUCCACGCCGUAAACGAUGUCAACUAGCUGUUGGCCUUAUUAAAAAGGUUAGUAGCGUAGCUAACGCGCUAAGUUGACCGCCUGGGGAGUACGGUCGCAAGAUUAAAACUCAAAGGAAUUGACGG